This 1385-nucleotide long non-coding RNA is filed under the name Aotus nancymaae (Ma's night monkey). Its description in RNAcentral is "lncRNA (ENSANAG00000038548.1)". Lineage: Eukaryota; Metazoa; Chordata; Mammalia; Primates; Aotidae. The record is from RNAcentral.
AGGGCCUGAUGAGAGGCGGUGCCUGGUGCAUUUGCGAGGCGACCCUGCACCUUCCUCUCCCUCUGCAGCCAGCUCCGCCCCUGGGAGAAGGUGCAGAUGACUUGGAGGGGGAGUUCACUGAGGAAACGAUCGGGAACGUUGAUGAAAACUACUACGACCCCUACUACGACCCCACCAACGCCCCGUCGGAGAUCGGGCCGGGAAUGCCGGCGAACCAGGACACCGUCUACGAAGGGAUUGGAGGACCUCGGGGCGAGAAAGGCCAAAAGGGAGAACCAGCCAUCAUUGAGCCGGGCAUGCUGAUCGAGGGUCCGCCCGGCCCGGAAGGCCCUGCGGUGAGUAUCAGGUUUGAUCCGGUGACUUGCCGUAGGUGCUCUUGGGGGGGUGGGGUUGGUGACACCCUUCCGUCUCCUGGAUGGAAAAGAGGUAGGCUCGUCACUUUUGCAGACAGCUUGGGAGCCGGCACUCUCCCGCCCCCACCCCUGCCUUGGUUGGCCAGGUAGAAAUCGGGCCUUGCCCUGCGGCCCCAUCUUUUAACUGUCCCAACUUUAUUUUUAAUUCUAGGGUCUUCCUGGACCACCAGGAACCAUGGGUCCCACUGGCCAAGUCGGGGACCCUGGAGAAAGGGUAAGAGGUUGACCGUGUUUCCUGAGAUCACAUGGGUUGUGGGGCUGCCCCUGCCUCCUCCCCACACUGUGACCCGAGCUGUCCCUGCCUGUGGAGGUGGCAAGUCGCCCCUCCCCCAGGCACUCCUCCCCUAGGCGCCCCUCACACCAGCCCUGUUCAGACUGUGGAUGUGGGAAGAGGGGGGCCGCUGGGGCGCAGGGAGCCUCCAGUGCUCAGCCCAGUCCGUGGCCCCGGGACCCUGCAUUUGUCCAGCAAUCAGCAGCGGCUGUAACCACGGUGAUGGCUCCCGGGCCUUUCCCGCUUGCUCCUCACCCCGGGCGGCCAUGCCACGUGGCAUCCGCCCUCCUUGCUCACUUGGGAACUUCCUCGGUCUGGGUUGCACCUGGCUCAGAGGCUCAGAGGCGUCCUCCUGUGACCCUAGCAGAGGGAGGGAGGUUGAGGGAGUGCCGCUCCUGGCCGCCACGAUUUCCUCCUGACACCUGGUGGGCGCUCCGAGUACUGCGGCCUCCUGGUCCCUGGCAGGGCGGGAGUUUCCUCUUCCUGCUGCUGGAAUGAAUGUGGAUUUGAGGGUGGAAGGACUAAUUCCUGGGUGGCUGGGCUGUGGGUGGGAGAAGCAAGGGGUGUGUGUGGGUGUUCACAGUAUCAUGCCAGGGCCUGCCUGCUGCCCGGGGCAGAGCGAGGACCCUGUGGGUGUUGGGGUGAGUGGAUGCAGGGUGGGUCUGGUCGCGUGGGAAGGUGGUUCGUAAAGUCAGCGCAGG